CUUUGGAAUGAGCCAGAGGCUGCCCUGUCCUUCCUGAGUCUUCUCAGCUGGCAGAUAGGAUCUCGCUAAGAGGCCCAAGUGGCCUCGAACUUGCAACCCUCCUGCCCCAGGCUCCAGAGUCCCUAGGAUUCAGGUCCUUCACACAUCUGGGCUGUAGGAACGUAAGGCCCAGAGACCUAACCGUCGUUCUCUCACCAUAGACCAGACUGCCCAGCUUUCCACUGUUUACCGUAAGUUCACGGGUUUGUCUGGUUUAUCUCCAAAUGGUCUACUUUCCUCCUUUGGCCUUUUCAUUCCUGGGUCACUUCUACUUGGUUUUCACUAGUAGAGCUUCAUAGAAUGUUUAGAAUGUUUGUUUCCUAUUCUUUUUCAAACCAUACUUA
Marmota flaviventris (yellow-bellied marmot) is the source of this 383-nucleotide long non-coding RNA. RefSeq lists it as uncharacterized. The record is from RefSeq and is a predicted model, not a curated record. Lineage: Eukaryota; Metazoa; Chordata; Mammalia; Rodentia; Sciuridae.